Molecule: non-coding RNA, 1918 nt
Organism: Python bivittatus (Burmese python)
Lineage: Eukaryota; Metazoa; Chordata; Lepidosauria; Squamata; Pythonidae
Source: RefSeq, a predicted model, not a curated record
UUGUGUUGUUGGAAAAGAGUGUUUGCUAUGACUAGCUUGUUCUCUUGACAGAACUCUAUUAGCCUUUGCCGCCCCACCCAAAAGGUCUGGGGCAGAGUGGGGCAAGAAAGAUCACCUUGAACAGUUUGGAAGCCAUGGUUGACCUUACCCUGUUCUGUCUUCACCCAGAUGAAGUUUCCUUCUGUCUUCAAGGGCUUGGAAGGACGGCCGGUCCUUGGACUCCACCGCUGGGGCUCCCACGCCUCCGUGCCCCAGGCCGCCCCCUCGCUGGCUUUUGUUCCAGCCAGCCCCCCUCCGGAUGCUGUGGCGAUCGAGAAGCUCCAGGCGUUCGUUGUCCGCUGCCACCGGCUUUUUGUCCUGACCGGAGCAGGAAUCUCCACUGAGUCCGGCAUCCCGGACUACCGCUCCGAAGGCGUGGGCCUUUACGCCCGGUCUGACCGACGGCCCGUCCAGCACACCGAGUUUCUCCGCAGUGCUGCAGCCCGGCAGAAAUACUGGGCCAGGAACUUUGUGGGUUGGCCCCAGUUUUCCUCCCACCAGCCCAACGUGGCACACCGGGCUCUGAGCAACUGGGAACGGCAGGGGAAGCUGCACUGGCUGGUGACCCAGAACGUGGAUGCCCUCCAUACCAAGGCUGGGAGUCAACGCAUGACCGAGUUGCAUGGCUGCACACACAGGGUCGUGUGCCUCAGCUGUGGGGCCCGGGUCUCCCGUGUGCAACUCCAGGAACAUUUUGAGGCCUUGAACCCCACAUGGACAGCCGAGGCCCACGGCGUGGCCCCCGAUGGAGACGUCUUUCUGCCAGAAGAGCAGGUGCGCCAUUUCCAGGUCCCGUCGUGCAGCAGGUGUGGCGGGGUCCUCAAGCCAGAUGUGACUUUCUUCGGGGACAAUGUGUGCAAGGAGAAAGUGGACUUUGUGUACCAGCGUCUUGCGGAAUCGGAUGCGGUCCUCGUGGCAGGGUCUUCCUUGCAGGUCUUCUCAGCUUACAAAUUUGCACUUGCAGCCCGGGACAGGAAGCUGCCGAUUGCCAUCAUUAACAUUGGCCCCACGCGGGCAGAUUCCUUAGCCUCUUUAAAGCUGAAUUCCCGCUGUGGGGCACUGCUGCCUUCAGUUCUCCUUUGAGUGACAAGGAAAGAUUCAAGGGUAAUUGUGGGGAAGCUGCUGAUUUGGGCUGGAUUGAGCUCCAGGGGGCAGUCAAAUUCCAAAAAGGUAGCCGGAAGGACUGAGGAAGGUAAAGCGGUCCACGGUCUAAAAACAGCUUUGUGGUCUCACAAGAUGAGAGGUUCCCUGCGAUGUGUUGUCUGUUCAGGAAGCCAUUUCACUGGCCAAAACGCCAAGAGGCAUCCUCUUCUAGAAUAGAUUCUCCGUGGAAAUCUUCCCACUACCCUCUUCCUUCAAACCUCUCUUUCCAUCUUUCUCAAAUAAAUGUCUCGCGUUCCAGCUAUUCUCUUGACUCAUUCACCCCCACAGGUGGUUCCAUCGUGGCUUAGUGGAGAUAGAAGAAUCUCUCACAGGGCUUGUAGAGGCCAUACCAACCAGCAGCUCUUGAAAUCAAGGUUGUGGAAAUCCCAGGAGGAAUGAGUCAGCCAGGAGCUGAGUUAAGGAGGAAAAAUCUGGAACGCCGUGGCCUGCGUCACGUGAAACACCUUUUGGCUAGUAAGCCUGGGUGGGACUUACUAUACACUCUCGUAUACGCUCUCAUCUCGCAGUUCAGUGGCAAAUCACAGAUUCCAUUGGACAGUAUUUUACCUUUUUACUACUGUAAAUAUUGUAUCCUGGGCAUGAAACAAACCCCCAAGUGGGGCCUUCUGCAAACUUCAGAUGUCCAUGAAAUUAAAUUGCGCUUUUCCUGCACACCGGCUCUGCUGUUGGUUGCUUUUGAAUGGGGAGUUGAAUAAAGGCAUCCGUUUCAGAUAAA